Non-coding RNA from Potamilus streckersoni, 73 nucleotides. Lineage: Eukaryota; Metazoa; Mollusca; Bivalvia; Unionida; Unionidae. The record is from the annotation of a GenBank genome assembly.
GCUCCGGUCGCCUAGUGGUUAAAGUGUCCGCCUCAGAUGUGGGAGUUCAUGGGUUCAAUCCCCAGUUGAGUCA